CUAUUGUGUCCGGUCGUCAUGGAUGAAGCAACCUGACACAUUGAUGAAAUGUCCUGUCGAUGAAGAUGCCUGUCAAAGCUACAUGUCGUGGGUCUCCCCGGUAUACUUCGUCAGCUUCGUCAUCAUGGCCCUGUUCAUGCGGGUUAACCUGGUGGUGGCGUUCAUUAGGAUGGUACUGUAGGAAAGCAACCAGUGAAAUCCUAUUAACUUCUGGCUCCCCCUGGAGGAGGAAAAUAACCAGGACACCGAGCUGGAGUUGACUUCUACAGGGGAGAGGGGUACAACAGGUCCAGCCGCGCCAUCGCAGACGAGUCCGGCGUCAGAUGAACACUCAGAGGAGUGUAAAAUGUGUCCAGUUUGUGGUUUAGAAGGCCUUUUAUAGGGACACACACCAGGAACUGUCAUUAAAAUCUGCAUUUCUAAUAGCAUCAUUAAGGCCGUGUUCACACUUGACUUGUCUGAUGAAAAAGGAUGACGCCUUUUCAAAAAGCACUGCGCCCGACGCAUUUUCAGUUAAAUUAUUUCAACUUUUCAGAAAAAACGCUGGGUGAUGUCAAGCGCCUUUCUGACAGCUGACCAAUCAGGACGAGUAGUAACCUACGUCCCUAGUUACCUGUGCCCAAAAACGGCAAACUUCCACCAGAUAUGUGUGCAUUGCGUGUCCGCUCUGGUCUGUUACGGCUCCGUGCAUCCUCAUCCAUCAACAUCCACCGGCUGCGUUCUCAGUCUACAGCACGGAGAGCACAGCUGGACAGCUGGAGUACGGAGACAAAGGAAUUUCCGCGGUUAUUUAACAGAUUCACUCGCGACAGCACGAGAUAAUACAAUGUUCGUGGUAUAAAAGUCAAUACAAACCUUAUAAACACAUAAACAAACACACAAACGGUGGUUUUUCUGAACCGUCAAAACGGAGGGUGUUAUUCUGAAA
Long non-coding RNA from Labrus bergylta (ballan wrasse), 928 nucleotides. RefSeq lists it as uncharacterized. Lineage: Eukaryota; Metazoa; Chordata; Actinopteri; Labriformes; Labridae. The record is from RefSeq and is a predicted model, not a curated record.